GACAUGCUAGAUUUUGAUUUGUGGUGGGUACUUAGAACCUCUUGUGGUUGGGUUCACUUGUACCUAUCAACUACCUAGGACUCUGCUUUUAGACCCUAACGCGUGGUUGAACUCUGGCCAUGACGACAGAGCAACUUUUUGUACCCAUAUCUGGGCUGAAAGGACCAGAUUGGGCUGAAUGUGUUUAGAGAUAAUUUUGAUCUAUUAAGGCAAUAGCGACAAAAUAGAUUCAUAAUGUGGGGUGCUAGCUAGAGUCGUAGGUAGAUGAUAAAUUUAAAUUUUAUUAAAAGAUGCAAAUUACAACAGUAAGAUUUGUAAUUUUUAAACUAACACAUAGACUAAGAGGCUCUAGCGCGCUUGAUACUAAGCGCGAUGUUGCUGUGCGUUGUCCGUGUG
Molecule: long non-coding RNA, 396 nt
Filed under: Zostera marina
Lineage: Eukaryota; Viridiplantae; Streptophyta; Magnoliopsida; Alismatales; Zosteraceae
Description: long non-coding RNA (ZMAR_LNC003681)
Source: RNAcentral